Long non-coding RNA from Neogale vison (American mink), 193 nucleotides. RefSeq lists it as uncharacterized. Lineage: Eukaryota; Metazoa; Chordata; Mammalia; Carnivora; Mustelidae. The transcript is spliced from 3 exons. The record is from RefSeq and is a predicted model, not a curated record.
UGAGUUCACUGUCUGAGUCCAGGAAACAGUGACCCAAGAAUAAAGCUCGGGAGAAAGAGAAAAUGUGAUCCUUCAGACCCAGUGAAGAUGACUGAGGCAGGAUAGAACAGCAGCAUCCCUCCCCCACCCCCAUGUCCAACUGAUAUCCUGGUUUCCUACAAGAAGAAGAAGAAGAAGAGGAAGAAGAAGAAAA